Molecule: ribosomal RNA, 1161 nt
Filed under: Salmonella enterica subsp. enterica serovar Hadar
Lineage: Bacteria; Pseudomonadati; Pseudomonadota; Gammaproteobacteria; Enterobacterales; Enterobacteriaceae
Description: partial 23S ribosomal RNA
Rfam family: Bacterial large subunit ribosomal RNA
Source: RNAcentral
GGGUUGUGAGGUUAAGCGACUAAGCGUACACGGUGGAUGCCCUGGCAGUCAGAGGCGAUGAAGGACGUGCUAAUCUGCGAUAAGCGCCGGUAAGGUGAUAUGAACCGUUAUAACCGGCGAUUUCCGAAUGGGGAAACCCAGUGUGAUUCGUCACACUAUCAUUAACUGAAUCCAUAGGUUAAUGAGGCGAACCGGGGGAACUGAAACAUCUAAGUACCCCGAGGAAAAGAAAUCAACCGAGAUUCCCCCAGUAGCGGCGAGCGAACGGGGAGGAGCCCAGAGCCUGAAUCAGCAUGUGUGUUAGUGGAAGCGUCUGGAAAGGCGCGCGAUACAGGGUGACAGCCCCGUACACAAAAGCGCAUGUGCUGUGAGCUCGAUGAGUAGGGCGGGACACGUGGUAUCCUGUCUGAAUAUGGGGGGACCAUCCUCCAAGGCUAAAUACUCCUGACUGACCGAUAGUGAACCAGUACCGUGAGGGAAAGGCGAAAAGAACCCCGGCGAGGGGAGUGAAAAAGAACCUGAAACCGUGUACGUACAAGCAGUGGGAGCACCCUUUGGGGUGUGACUGCGUACCUUUUGUAUAAUGGGUCAGCGACUUAUAUUCUGUAGCAAGGUUAACCGUAUAGGGGAGCCGUAGGGAAACCGAGUCUUAACCGGGCGUUAAGUUGCAGGGUAUAGACCCGAAACCCGGUGAUCUAGCCAUGGGCAGGUUGAAGGUUGGGUAACACUAACUGGAGGACCGAACCGACUAAUGUUGAAAAAUUAGCGGAUGACCUGUGGCUGGGGGUGAAAGGCCAAUCAAACCGGGAGAUAGCUGGUUCUCCCCGAAAGCUAUUUAGGUAGCGCCUCGUGAAUUCAUCUCCGGGGGUAGAGCACUGUUUCGGCUAGGGGGCCAUCCCGGCUUACCAACCCGAUGCAAACUGCGAAUACCGGAGAAUGUUAUCACGGGAGACACACGGCGGGUGCUAACGUCCGUCGUGAAGAGGGAAACAACCCAGACCGCCAGCUAAGGUCCCAAAGUCAUGGUUAAGUGGGAAACGAUGUGGGAAGGCCCAGACAGCCAGGAUGUUGGCUUAGAAGCAGCCAUCAUUUAAAGAAAGCGUAAUAGCUCACUGGUCGAGUCGGCCUGCGCGGAAGAUGUAACGGGGCUAAACCAUGCAC